GAUGAACGCUGGCGGCGUGCCUAACACAUGCAAGUCGAGCGAGGGUUUGCUCAGUAUUGAGUAUUCUAAGUCUAGAAUGUUCAAUUCUGAGCAAAACCAAGCGGCGGACGGGUGAGUAACGCGUGGGUAACCUGCCCUAUACACAUGGAUAACAUACUGAAAAGUUUACUAAUACAUGAUAAUAUAUAUUUGCGGCAUCGCAGAUAUAUCAAAGUGUUAGCGGUAUAGGAUGGACCCGCGUCUGAUUAGCUAGUUGGUGAGAUAACUGCCCACCAAGGCGACGAUCAGUAGCCGACCUGAGAGGGUGAUCGGCCACAUUGGAACUGAGACACGGUCCAAACUCCUACGGGAGGCAGCAGUGGGGAAUAUUGCACAAUGGGCGAAAGCCUGAUGCAGCAACGCCGCGUGAACGAUGAAGGUCUUCGGAUCGUAAAGUUCUGUUGCAGGGGAGGAUAAUGACGGUACCCUGUGAGGAAGCCCCGGCUAACUACGUGCCAGCAGCCGCGGUAAUACGUAGGGGGCUAGCGUUAUCCGGAUUUACUGGGCGUAAAGGGUGCGUAGGUGGUCCUUCAAGUCGGUGGUUAAAGGCUACGGCUCAACCGUAGUAAGCCGCCGAAACUGGAGGACUUGAGUGCAGGAGAGGAAAGUGGAAUUCCCAGUGUAGCGGUGAAAUGCGUAGAUAUUGGGAGGAACACCAGUAGCGAAGGCGGCUUUCUGGACUGCAACUGACACUGAGGCACGAAAGCGUGGGUAGCAAACAGG
This 762-nucleotide ribosomal RNA is filed under the name uncultured Peptostreptococcus sp. Its description in RNAcentral is "bacterial SSU rRNA". It matches the Rfam family "Bacterial small subunit ribosomal RNA", at positions 28 to 776 of the family's 1533-position model. The record is from RNAcentral. Lineage: Bacteria; Bacillati; Bacillota; Clostridia; Peptostreptococcales; Peptostreptococcaceae.